Acanthosepion pharaonis is the source of this 108-nucleotide non-coding RNA. The record is from the annotation of a GenBank genome assembly. Lineage: Eukaryota; Metazoa; Mollusca; Cephalopoda; Sepiida; Sepiidae.
GUUAUAUCACAUCGAAACACGGGUUCCCGUACGAUCACUUCGGUUAAGCAACGUCGAGCCUGGUUAGUACCUAGAUCGGUGACCUUGUGGGAAUGCCCGAGGCUGUUA